Long non-coding RNA from Parus major (Great Tit), 666 nucleotides. RefSeq lists it as uncharacterized. The transcript is spliced from 4 exons. The record is from RefSeq and is a predicted model, not a curated record. Lineage: Eukaryota; Metazoa; Chordata; Aves; Passeriformes; Paridae.
UCCCUGCAGCUCCGCGGAUGCCGAGUACGCUGCUAGAGCCUAAAGAAAAACUUGGGAAUAGGGAAAAGGAUGGAAAUUGACACAUAGUUAACUUUAAAGGCCGAAUGCGUUUAUAUCGAGGAGUAAACACAAAACCAUCUACUAAAGUCAGACAUGCCUUCUAUUUCAGGGCUAAUGGAAUGAGUCAUCGACAGAGUGGAUUAUUUAAAGCACCAUAGAUCCGGGUUUGGCUGAGGUUUAACCACUGGUGCAGAAGGUUGCAGGUACAUUGGCAGAUCUCAAGAGCAAGAGAUUUACUGCAUGAUGCCGGCCACACCUUGAGCUGCUGCUCAGGGCAACAAAGGCAACAAGAUCUGGGAUUGGAGCUGAUGGAAAAGACUGUAAAACUUUCUAUUUUCCAUUUAAAUUUAUUUUUCACAGAUGUCUAUAAUACCAGAUUGUUUUCUUCAGCAUUUAAGGUAAAUGUUCUGAGAUUUGUCUUGUGGUUCUGGGAACACAUCUAUAUUCUGAGAGAGACAAGCACUGAGGUUGGUGAUGUUAUGGAGGAGCUUUUGCUUGGUUUUAAGUCAGAUUCUUCCACCUUCUAUCCCUACACUGUUGAAUUUAACAGAGCAGGUAAAGACAAAAAAGGGUACCAGGCUUAGAUGUGUAUACAUCUAGACUUUC